GAUGACCACCCUCUGUCUGCGGCCUGCUUUGUCUGAGUUUAAACAUUGUAAGUUUAAGCAUUGCAGUUUAAACAUGAGUUUCUGUUUUGGCUGUAGAACAGUGUCUUUUGGUUUUUGGAGGGUGGACAUGGGCUAACAGGACAGUGCUGCUCCUGUAAAAUCAACUCUUGAUCUGUUGUUGCAGAGACGGAGCCUGGGUGUCCAUGGAAUGGUGGUGAGCAUGGAGGGAAAUGGAAAGAAGCUGAUGCCUGUGGCCUUCCUCUGAAGCACAGCCAUGUGGAAAGCCAGGGGAGGAGUAGCACAGCACAGGAGUGUAGCACAGCACCCAAGAGAGUGGUGACCAGCUCAGAUGUGCCGGAGGAUGUCACGGACAUCCAGGGUUUGCUCUCUUGGAUCAAUGGUGAGUUUGGGGGCUGCAGAGCUGCAGGUGAGUGUUUGCACAGAGUGGAUGUGGGAGGGCUAUCAUCGCCAUUUUGGGGGAUGUUUUUGCAUUGCCAGACGUGGCAAGAGCUGUUGAGGUCCCCCAUGAGAACCCCAGCAACCCUGCCCCAGGAUGCUUCAUCGCUGAGCUCCGUGACAACCCCAGGGACAGCAGAGAGCUCUGCAUGGAGGCACAGGCUGCCACCGGGAUGCCCACCAACCCCUUCUGGGGGCUUCCACCAUCCCCUGGGUUCCUGUCUGAACUGCAGAGUGGGUUGUCGCAGCUGCACCCUGUCGUGCCUUCAGCGAGUGCCUGGCUCAGUCCACUGCCAACCUCCCUGGCUGUCACCACACCUUCCUUAGUCCAAACAGCACAGCCCAUCGAGGAGGUGCAGCAAAGGGAGCCCCAAGUGGCUCAGGCUCACUCACCCCUGUCACCAGGCUCUGUCCCCAGCCGGAUGGCAGAAAAGAAGGGCAGCACCAAGUGGGCCAAGCGCCCUGAGCCUGCUGGCAACACCCAGAAAGGGGAGAGCUCCCAGCAGGAGUAGCCUACCAACAGCACUCCAGCCAAGAAAAGAAAGCUGCUGCCACAUAGGGAAAGAACAGAGAGAAAAGGCCGCAAACACCUGUGCCAAGUGAAGCUGUCUGGGCCCAGCGCAGGAGCAAGCAACAGUGGGCAAGUGGGGCCAGCAGCAGUGGGCCUUCUCAGCAGGAAGCCACAAACCCUGCAGAAAGCUGCAGGAGACUCAGAGCACGUGUGAUGCCCAGAUGGAAAUGCAGAUCCAGUGUUUGAGCAGCGCCUGGCCAUGGAGUGCUGUACAGUCCAGGUGCUUAAAGUCACAGCCCAGUUAGAGAGGCUGACAUAUGUCCUGGGGCCUAAAGAUACUGCCAGAGAAGACAGGACUGGCCCUAGGGCCUAAAAAUACAGCCAGAGAGACUGGCACUGGCCACAGGACCUGAAGCCACAGCCUGAGAGGCCAGCACCGACCAUGGGGAUUAAAGCCCCAGCCCCAGCCAGAGAGGUCUGCACUGGCCCUGGGCCUAAACCUGGAGCCACAACACAAGAAGCCAGCACGAGCUUUGGGCCUAAAGCCACAGCCUGAGAGGCUGGUGCCGGCUCUGAAGUCCGAAGCUCCAGCCAGAGAGCCCAGCACCAGCCCUGGGCCAUAAUGCCACAGUUAUAGCCACAGAGGCCAGCACCAGACCUGGGGCUUAAAGCCACAUCUACAGCCAGACAGGCUGGCACCAGCUGUGGAGCCUAAAGCCAAAUCCUGAAAGGUCGGCACCAGCCCCUAGGCCUAAAGCACAGCCAGAGAGGCCGGAACCAGGCCAAGGGCCUAAAGCCACAUCUGCAGCCUGAGAGGCCUGGGGCACACAGGUGUGCCUUCCUAUUGGCUUCUGCUGAUUCCUAUAGGACUCCAUUGACCACUCUGAGGUCAUAUUGGUCCUUACUGUUUUUUACUUAGCCAUACUGGACUUUUCUGGUCCAUACUGGUGUGCACUCCUCCCAGUUCCUACUAGUUCCUCUGGGACUCGGCUGACCACUGCGAGGCCAUAUUGCAUUUUUAUUGGGCUGCACAAGACUCAUCUUCAGUUCUCUGUUGCUUUACUUCAAUUAACCCCCAUUCAAUUAACCCCAUUCAUCCCACUGGGUGACGCUGGUGUUGGUUUCCUAAAAUUUGGAUCUAGGAGGUGACCACUCCCUUUGCUUAUGAUGAAAGCACAGAAGUGAUGCAGGCACUCGCUGAGGCCACAAUGGUUGCUGGGGUGGGAGCGUUUGUGCCACAGCUGGUGAGCAGAGCUGGUGCUCUGGUGAGCGUGCUGCACACGGAGACUGAGCUCUGUGUUUUUCUUGAGAGAGAUCACCCUGUGAGAGCCCAUUGGAAGCACCACUGCAGUGUGUGUGAGCUGGGCACAGCACAGACUGAGCAGGCUGACCAGGUGAGCUGGGUUUGGUGCUGGGUGGUUGCCAGGGGGUUUCUCAGCAGAAAAACUGGGCUGGGGAGGAGUUCCCAGCUCCAGCGGUGCCCUUCUGAAUGGCUGUUUCCAGAGGAAACAUGUUCUUCUUGAGAUUCCAUCCCACAUUUCAGUGAGGAUGAUGAAAUGUCAUUCCUCCCCUGGAAAAUUGCUGCCAGGCCCCCACCUUCAUGUCAGACCUAAAAAAGGAAGCAGAGCACAGACUUCAUAGAGUGCAACUUGUGUCUCACUGCUCCAUGGAUUGCUUGGUGUGCCAUACCCAGCAGGUGUUUCAGCAAACUGCGCUGAAGUCACGGCAGAGAGCCGGGUGCUCAGCUGGGCACAUGGACGGUCAGCACACCUGUGGGGGAAAAGGGGACCUGGGGGCACUUGCUGACAGAAGCCAUGGCAGUCAGACACAAGCUGCAGCUAGUGAUGGGCAAUUCUUGCAGACAGCUGAUGUCCAAGCAUUGCCCUCAAGAGACUACAUUGCAUGGCAGAAGA
Non-coding RNA from Phasianus colchicus (ring-necked pheasant), 2880 nucleotides. The record is from RefSeq and is a predicted model, not a curated record. NCBI's taxonomy places the organism in Eukaryota, Metazoa, Chordata, Aves, Galliformes, Phasianidae.